RNAcentral lists this long non-coding RNA (219 nucleotides) under Prunus persica (peach). RNAcentral describes it as "long non-coding RNA (PPER_LNC001127)". Lineage: Eukaryota; Viridiplantae; Streptophyta; Magnoliopsida; Rosales; Rosaceae. The record is from RNAcentral.
UUUGUCCAUAAAUCCUUCAGCUCAUCAACCAGCGGCCUUAAGUAAACAUCGAUUGACCUCCCAGGAUCCUCAGUUAUCAAAACAGUCAUCAUCAUGUAUUCUUUUUUCAUGCAUUUCCAAGGCGGCAAAUUAUAUGGGAAUACAUAAAUCGGCCAAGUGCUGUGGUGUUGGUUUAGAACCCCAUACGGAUUGAAUCCGUCAGUGGCAAGUCCCAAUCUC